Long non-coding RNA from Cheilinus undulatus (humphead wrasse), 1204 nucleotides. RefSeq lists it as uncharacterized. The transcript has 4 exons. NCBI's taxonomy places the organism in Eukaryota, Metazoa, Chordata, Actinopteri, Labriformes, Labridae. The record is from RefSeq and is a predicted model, not a curated record.
UAUAUUUUGUCCAUUUUUGCCACUUUUUUGCCAUUUUUAAUUCAUUUCUUGCCACUUUUUUUCCCCAAUUGUUGCCACUUUUAUCCAAUUUUUGCCCAUUUUAGCUACCUUCUGUCAAUAAAUACCCUUUCCCCCAUUUUCUAAUCUCAUUUUGCCCUUUUUCAUCAUUUUUUGUCACUUUUCACUCAUUUGAGCAAUGUUUAGUCAUUAGAUACAGUUUUUCUUCUAGUUCUUGCCCAUUUCAGCCACUUCUUUUUGCUACUUUUAUCCCAUUUUUGCCAUUUUCACCAUUUUUGCCGACUUUAACUUAUUUUUCUGCUACUUCAAGCUGUUUUUGCCUCUUUUCACCACUUAAAUUGUGGCUCUUGCAAAGGAGAAACCCUGCAGAUGCUCUACAUUACACUGAACCCAUUAGUUCUCUCCUGACUACAUGACCGCUAAUCCUACCAGCAUUACGACACCAGAUCGAUGGCAGUCAAAUGAAGCCAUAAAGCGCAUCGAGACAGCGUGACCCCUGGGCCAGAUCCAGACUAACUCAGUGGAUAACUUCACUCAGGCUGCCACUUAUGAAUCACUACACCACCUCUACCACCCUCUGCACCUCGACUGGAGUCCACCUGUGGCAAAUUAAACUAAUUGGACGUGAUUUAAAUAGGCACUCACCUCUCUAUAGGACUCUCAGCUGACAAUUAUACCAGAGCAGAAACCAAGCCAUGAGGUCAAAGGAGGUGCAGAGCUCAGAGACAGGACUGUUGCACAGAUCUGGAUGGAGGGGCACAGCGGCCUCCAGAGUUCUCACAUAGAAGACGUUUGGACCAACCAGGACUCCCUCAAGAGCCAGCUGAUCUGGAGAGCACAAAGCAGGGACAGCACACGUUCCUGCCUUUCCUGUUCCUACCUGAGGCAGGAAGUGAAGCAGCACCCCGGAGCAGAGCGGGCAUCACUGACAGCAGAAGGAUUCAUUAAGAAGCAGGAUGAAGGAGGAGCUAAAAAUGCUAAAAUUCAUGAUUUAUAUUAUUCUUUAAAACAUUUUUGUUUUGCUUUUUCUCUUAACACUUCCAUCUCUGAUCAUGACAUAACAAAUCUUUGGUCAAUGCCAUGAUGUUAUGUGUUUUUAACCCUUUAAAUGCCCGUCUGUUCAAUUUUCAUUCAGCAGAAUGAGAUAUUUUACAUAUUAAAAAUGCUAAGGGGAUUUUUUAUUAUU